AGAGUUUGAUCCUGGCUCAGGAUGAACGCUAGCGGGAGGCCUAACACAUGCAAGUCGAACGGGAUUGAGAGCUUGCUCUCAUGAGAGUGGCGCACGGGUGAGUAACGCGUAUGCAACCUGCCUUUAACUGAGGGAUAGCCCAUAGAAAUGUGGAUUAAUACCUCAUAGUUCUUUUGGUCUGCAUGGGCUGAAAGGUAAAGCUCCGGCGGUUAAAGAUGGGCAUGCGUGACAUUAGCUAGUUGGUGAGGUAACGGCUCACCAAGGCGACGAUGUCUAGGGGUUCUGAGAGGAUGAUCCCCCACACUGGUACUGAGACACGGACCAGACUCCUACGGGAGGCAGCAGUGAGGAAUAUUGGUCAAUGGGCGCAA
This 371-nucleotide ribosomal RNA is filed under the name uncultured bacterium. Its description in RNAcentral is "bacterial SSU rRNA". It matches the Rfam family "Bacterial small subunit ribosomal RNA", at positions 8 to 380 of the family's 1533-position model. The record is from RNAcentral.